RNAcentral lists this ribosomal RNA (833 nucleotides) under uncultured Bacillota bacterium. RNAcentral's name for it is "bacterial SSU rRNA". It matches the Rfam family "Bacterial small subunit ribosomal RNA", at positions 69 to 879 of the family's 1533-position model. Lineage: Bacteria; Bacillati; Bacillota. The record is from RNAcentral.
GAAAGCCUCCUUCGGGGGGCAAGUAGAGUGGCGCACGGGUGAGUAACACGUAGGUAAUCUACCUUUGGAUUGGGAAUAACCAUCGGAAACGGUGGCUAAUACCGAAUAAUGCAGCGGCACCUAAUGGUGACAGUUGUUAAAGCGGGGGAUCGCAAGACCUCGCGUCUAAAGAGGAGCCUGCGGCAGAUUAGCUAGUUGGUAAGGUAACGGCUUACCAAGGCGAUGAUCUGUAGCCAGCCUGAGAGGGCGGUCGGCCACACUGACACUGACAUACGGGUCAGACUCCUACGGGAGGCAGCAGUCGGGAAUUUUGGGCAAUGGGCGAAAGCCUGACCCAGCAACGCCGCGUGAAGGAUGAAAUCCUUCGGGAUGUAAACUUCGCAAGAACGGGAAGAAUAAGUAAGAGUUAAUAUCUCUUACGAUGACGGUACUGUUUGUAAGCUCCGGCUAACUCCGUGCCAGCAGCCGCGGUAAUACGGGGGGAGCAAGCGUUGUUCGGAUUUACUGGGCGUAAAGGGCGCGUAGGCGGCCACCGCAAGUCGACUGUGAAAUCUCCGGGCUUAACCCGGAAAGGUCAGCCGAUACUGCGGGGCUAGAGUGCAGAAGGGGCAACUGGAAUUCUCGGUGUAGCGGUGAAAUGCGUAGAUAUCGGGAGGAACACCUGCGGCGAANGCGGGUUGCUGGGCUGACACUGACGCUGAGGCGCGAAAGCUAGGGGAGCGAACGGGAUUAGAUACCCCGGUAGUCCUAGCCUUAAACGAUGAAUGCUUGGUGUCUGGGGUUUUAUAGUCCCCGGGUGCCGUCGCUAACGCUUUAAGCAUUCCGCCUGGGGA